Long non-coding RNA from Vollenhovia emeryi, 209 nucleotides. RefSeq lists it as uncharacterized. Lineage: Eukaryota; Metazoa; Arthropoda; Insecta; Hymenoptera; Formicidae. The record is from RefSeq and is a predicted model, not a curated record. The transcript has 2 exons.
AUUAUUUUCAUAUGCACAAAACUUAUUUCAAUAUUUGCAGUAUCCAGUGGUAUGGAUAGUAAAAUGCUUGCUUCACGUCCUUGGACUAGAUGACCUCUUAUCUAUUCUCGUCUUCUAACUAGCGAGUGGAGGAAAGUAAGAAACAACUUCUCUUAUCGGCACUGCAAUGCACCAUAAUACACUAUUAAUAAGCACCUUAUCUAUAAAAA